Molecule: ribosomal RNA, 434 nt
Filed under: uncultured bacterium
Lineage: Bacteria
Description: bacterial SSU rRNA
Rfam family: Bacterial small subunit ribosomal RNA
Source: RNAcentral
UGGGGAAUAUUGGUCAAUGGGCGAGAGCCUGAACCAGCCAAGUCGCGUGAGGGAUGACGGGUCUAUGGCCUGUAAACCUCUUUUGUGAAGGAAGAACCGCGGGGACGCGUCCCCGCCUGCCAGUACUUCACGAAUAAGCAUCGGCUAACUCCGUGCCAGCAGCCGCGGUAACACGGGGGAUGCGAGCGUUAUCCGGAUUUAUUGGGUUUAAAGGGAGCGUAGGCGGGGGCUUAAGUCAGUUGUGAAAGUUUGCGGCUCAACCGUAAAAUUGCAGUUGAUACUGGGUCCCUUGAGUGCGGCAGAGGCAGGCGGAAUUCGUGGUGUAGCGGUGAAAUGCUUAGAUAUCACGAAGAACUCCGAUCGCGAAGGCAGCUUGCCGGACCGUAACUGACGCUGAUGCUCGAAAGUGCGGGUAUCAAACAGGAUUAGAUACC